RNAcentral lists this small RNA (69 nucleotides) under Ditylum brightwellii. RNAcentral's name for it is "Mitochondrion-encoded tmRNA". The record is from RNAcentral. Lineage: Eukaryota; Bacillariophyta; Thalassiosirophyceae; Lithodesmiales; Lithodesmiaceae.
CUAACCAUAUUCAAAUGGGAGGUAAAAACGAUGGUGCUGCUGAUAACAGCAAAACUGAUCACAGUGAUA